This 425-nucleotide ribosomal RNA is filed under the name Holdemanella biformis. Its description in RNAcentral is "bacterial SSU rRNA". It matches the Rfam family "Bacterial small subunit ribosomal RNA", at positions 1081 to 1505 of the family's 1533-position model. Lineage: Bacteria; Bacillati; Bacillota; Erysipelotrichia; Erysipelotrichales; Erysipelotrichaceae. The record is from RNAcentral.
UAAGUCCCGCAACGAGCGCAACCCUUGUGAUAUGUUACUAACAUUGAGUUGAGGACUCAUAUCAGACUGCCGGUGAUAAACCGGAGGAAGGUGGGGAUGACGUCAAAUCAUCAUGCCCCUUAUGGCCUGGGCUACACACGUACUACAAUGGCGUCUACAAAGAGCGGCAAGCCUGUGAAGGCAAGCGAAUCUCAUAAAGGGCGUCUCAGUUCGGAUUGAAGUCUGCAACCCGGCUUCAUGAAGCUGGAAUCGCUAGUAAUCGCGAAUCAGCAUGUCGCGGUGAAUACGUUCUCGGGCCUUGUACACACCGCCCGUCAAACCAUGGGAGUUGGUAAUGCCCGAAGCCGGUGGCAUAACCCUUCGGGGAGUAAGCCGUCGAAGGCAGGACCGAUGACUGGGGUUAAGUCGGAACAAGGUAUCCCUAC